AAACCAACAGGGAUUGCCUCAGUAACGGGGAGUGAAGCGGCAAAAGCUCAAAUUUGAAAUCCCCCCGGGGAGUUGUAAUUUGAAGAUUGCGUCUUGGAGGCGACCGUGUCUAUGUUCCUUGGAACAGGACGUCACAGAGGGUGAGAAUCCCGUGCGGCACGGCCCCCGGCUCCUUAUAAGGCGCUCUCGACGAGUCGAGUUGUUUGGGAAUGCAGCUCAAAGUGGGUGGUAAAUUCCAUCUAAAGCUAAAUACAGGCGAGAGACCGAUAGCGAACAAGUACAGUGAUGGAAAGAUGAAAAGCACUUUGAAAAGAGAGUGAAACAGCACGUGAAAUUGUUGAAAGGGAAGGGCAUGCCGUCAGAUUGUCAGUGUGGGUAAGAAGCGGGGUACAAAGACUGUGGAACGUGGCCCUCGGGUGUUAUAGCCGCAGUUCAUGCCCCGUCUCUUUCCGAGGCCUGCUUUGAGGACACCGACGUAAUGACGGUACGCCGC
This 493-nucleotide ribosomal RNA is filed under the name Kodamaea ohmeri. Its description in RNAcentral is "LSU rRNA". It matches the Rfam family "Eukaryotic large subunit ribosomal RNA", at positions 62 to 648 of the family's 3401-position model. The record is from RNAcentral. Lineage: Eukaryota; Fungi; Ascomycota; Pichiomycetes; Serinales; Debaryomycetaceae.